AUGCCUCUUUUAGAAUUAAAUGAAUGCUGCAAAGGUCUGGGUGUGUGUUGGUGUAUACUUGAAAUGUCUCUACAUUUUUGGAGUCACCCUCCAGCCCCCUUCUCAUGGAGGGAAUACACAAAAUGUCUUGGAAUUCCUAUCUUUAGAUUGUAUUGGGUCCCAAUCAACUCAUGUACAAAGUCGUGCUAUACGAUUGUAGAAUGAUUCCUUCUGUAAAUUUGGAAAAGCCUAUCAGUGCUUUCUUUACUCGAGAGUUGCCCCUGCUCCUAGCAUACCUCAUCUUUGGUGUACGGUUCUUGUAAGUUAGUAAAAUGAAGAGAGUAACUAACUGGCUGCUUUCAGAUGAGAUCAGGCGUGUUGAGGGUGGUAUGGCCAUAGACUCAUUGGCUGCUUUCAUAUCACAGUACCACCAGCAGUUCUGAAACACUUUGGUCUCAGGACUUCUAAAUUAUUGAAGAUCCCCAGAGAGCUUUUGUGUAUGUGGCUUGUGUCUGUCAGAAUUUGCUAUAUUAGAAAUUAACACUGAGAUAUUUAAAAAACAUGUCAUUUAAAGAUAACAGUAAUAAGCCCCGUUACAUGUUAACAUAAAUACAUUUUGAUGACAGAACUGUUUUCCAAAAACAAUCAGAAGACCAUUGUUUCACCUUUGUGCAUCUCUUUAAUAUCUGGCUUAAUAGAAGCAGUGGGAUUCUCAUACUGUCACAUUGCAAUUCUUUUCAUAUGACAUGGCAUGUGGGCACUGGAAAAUUCCAUCAUGCACUUGCGAAACCACGAAUGGAACAGACAUACAACAUUGUAGUAUUAUGAAAAUAGCUUUGACCUUGGGUUUGGGGGACCCUCAAGGGUCCUCAGACCACACUGAGAACCGUUGCACUAUACUUUAAAUGAGUGUGUUUCUGGAGCAACAGUGUUUAGUUGUAGGGUAAAUGUACUACGCCCUGAACUUCUAAGUGUUUUUGUUGGCUUGGUGGGAAAAAUCAAAAUUUCUGUUGAAAUUGCAAACUUUUAAAACAUCGUUUUCUGAGUUUUCUUCUAUUUUUAUUUGAAUAUAUUUCAGUAAUGAUAAAAGUGGUGAAUAUCUCCUUUUUUUUGAAAAGGAUAUUACAAGUCCUGACUCGUAGUUAUUGGUGUUUAUUUUGGAGUUAUUUACUAUUCUGACCACUUUAAAAUUGCAUAAUUGGUUUGGGGGGCCAUCAAUAAACUUGCUGAGGAAAAAUUCA
This 1220-nucleotide long non-coding RNA is filed under the name Sus scrofa (pig). Its description in RNAcentral is "lncRNA (ENSSSCG00060043703.1)". The record is from RNAcentral. Lineage: Eukaryota; Metazoa; Chordata; Mammalia; Artiodactyla; Suidae.